Molecule: ribosomal RNA, 1096 nt
Filed under: Pediculus humanus corporis (human body louse)
Lineage: Eukaryota; Metazoa; Arthropoda; Insecta; Psocodea; Pediculidae
Description: rRNA large subunit ribosomal RNA
Rfam family: Eukaryotic large subunit ribosomal RNA (bases 461-1096)
Source: RNAcentral
UUUAAGAACAUUAAUUAUAAAGUUAUACCCCGAAAGGUUUAUCUUUUAAAUCAUUAAAAAGUAAUUAUAAAUAAUGUACCUUUUGCAUCAGGGGUUAAGAAAUAAGAUUAUUAAAUUAAUAACCUCCCGAAAGAAGCAGGAUCUUAAACUUUAUUGUUGGUUGUUGUUUCAUUAACAUUAAUAAUAAUAUUUAAGAAGCUAAAAGUUAUAACGACUCUUCUGAUCACUGGUUUGCUAUUUAGUGUUUUUAAGAAGGCAGAGAGUUAAUUGAAGUUUAAGCACUUUAUUAUUUUCUUUUAAUUAUAAAGGGACAAGCUUUUAUAACUUUAGGAAGAUCAAUUUAUAGCUUAUCUUCAUGACAAGAUAGACGUUAUUUAUCUAUUUAUAGAUCUACCUUUAGAAUAGCAUCUUUAGUGAAAUAAUUUUUAACUAUAAAAAUAAUCUUAACAUUAGUACUUCAAUAAAUCAAUUAUUAAAAGGAACUAGGCAAACAUUUAGCCGGACUGUUUAAUAAAAACAUUUCCUCUUGCAUAAAAGGGAGGUAAAGUCUGCUCGGUGUAAUUGAUUAACAGCUGCAGUAACUUGACUGUACAAAGGUAGCGUAAUCACUUGUCUUUUAAUUGAAGACUAGAAUGAACGGCUUAACCAAGCUAAUUCUGUCUCUUUUUAACCUUAAGAAAUUUAAGAUUUAAGUUAAAACGCUUAAAUUAUUUAGAGGGACGAGAAGACCCUGAAGAUUUUUAUUCUUACUUUAUUUUAAAUAAUAAUUAUAAGAAUUUAUUUGGGAUGAAUGUAAUAAACAUUAUGGUUUACUAAGACUUAAACGUCUUUAUUCUGACCCGUUUAAACGAGAAUCUGUUUAAGUUACCUCAGGGAUAACAGCGCAAUGUCUUUUAUUAGACCUUAUAAAAACAGAAGUUUGCGACCUCGAUGUUGAAUUGAGUUAAACUUUAAGUAGAAGAGUACUUAAGAGUAGGACUGUUCGUCUUUUAAUAGCUCACAUGAUUUGAGUUUAGACCGACGUGAGUCAGGUCAGAUUCUAUCUUCUAAUAUUAAGCAAUCUUUUUUGUACGAAAGGACUAAAAGAUUCGUCUUA